This 775-nucleotide ribosomal RNA is filed under the name uncultured Neocallimastigales. RNAcentral's name for it is "partial large subunit ribosomal RNA". It matches the Rfam family "Eukaryotic large subunit ribosomal RNA", at positions 24 to 620 of the family's 3401-position model. Lineage: Eukaryota; Fungi; Neocallimastigomycota; Neocallimastigomycetes; Neocallimastigales. The record is from RNAcentral.
UAUGUGAUCGUCUCUCGCAUAUCAAUAAGCGGAGGAAAAGAAACUAACAAGGAUUCCCUUAGUAACGGCGAGUGAAGCGGGAAGAGCUCAAAUUUGAAAUCUUCAAGGUUUUACCUUGACGAAUUGUAGUUUAAAGAAGUGUUUUCUGUUGAAGUUUUGGUAAAAGUUCUUUGGAAUAGGACAUCAUAGAGGGUGAGAAUCCCGUAUUUGACCAUUAUUUUCAGCUGUGUGAUACACUUUCAAAGAGUCGGAUUGUUUGGGAAUGCAGUCCAAAAUGGGUGGUAAAUUUCAUCUAAAGCUAAAUAUUGGCGAGAGACCGAUAGCGAACAAGUACCGUGAGGGAAAGAUGAAAAGAACUUUGAAAAGAGAGUUAAACAGUACGUGAAAUUGUCAAAAGGGAAGCGUUUGACACCAGUGUUGUUUUCUCGAAAAUCAAUUAAAAAGAGUUAGAUUUUGUUGUGUAUUGACCUUAACAGCUUGCAGUUUCAAUUUUCUUGCUUUUUUUAAUGCACUUUUCGUUUAACAAGUCAACAUCAGUUUCUUUUGUUGUAAAAAGGUCAUUGGAAGGUGGCUUUCUUUUCGGAGAAAGUGUUUAUAGCCUUUGACUCCUGCAAUCGGAGAGACUGAGGUCUGCAGCGUAGAUCCUUCGGGGUUAGAUACAUUUGUGCUAAGUUAUAGCUUUUUAUAGACAACUUGUUGACUAUGAUUAGUCUUGUAGCUUACUCGCUUAUGCUAUUUUACCUACGCUUAGGAUGUUGAAGAUGUAGCACAUCAU